UCGUUAACGAACGAGACCUUACUCUGCUAAAUAGCCAGGCUAACUUUGGUUGGUCGCCGGCUUCUUAGAGAGACUAUCAACUCAAGUUGAUGGAAGUUUGAGGCAAUAACAGGUCUGUGAUGCCCUUAGAUGUUCUGGGCCGCACGCGCGCUACACUGACAGAGCCAACGAGUUCUUUUCCUUGUUCGAAAGAAUUGGGUAAUCUUGUUAAACUCUGUCGUGCUGGGGAUAAAGCAUUGCAAUUAUUGCUUUUCAACGAGGAAUGCCUAGUAAGCGCGUGUCAUCAGCAUGCGUUGAUUACGUCCCUGACCUUUGUACACACCGCCCGUCGCUAAUACCGAUUGAAUGGAUA
RNAcentral lists this ribosomal RNA (352 nucleotides) under Eukaryota sp. RNAcentral describes it as "SSU rRNA". It matches the Rfam family "Eukaryotic small subunit ribosomal RNA", at positions 1325 to 1699 of the family's 1831-position model. The record is from RNAcentral.